This 331-nucleotide long non-coding RNA is filed under the name Dromaius novaehollandiae (emu). Its description in RNAcentral is "lncRNA (ENSDNVG00000001460.1)". The record is from RNAcentral. Lineage: Eukaryota; Metazoa; Chordata; Aves; Casuariiformes; Dromaiidae.
GGAAGCAGCUUGCACAGGAAGGCCGCUCCCUCGUCAGCUGAUGUUUCAGAGAAGGCAAUGAAAGAGCUUAAGAGAGAAUCCAGGUUGGUGGUGGCCAGACUGGAAGACGCCGUUCGGAAGCUGCUUGUUGUCCGUCGGCACACCCAGAAGACGUGUCCCGUUUCCUGCAGGGAACGAUGGCAGCCCUGAGCAUCGUCUGAGACUGUCUGCCGCUGCUUCUAGGAUUCAGCUGGCGGCUCGUCUAAUGCUGCYGUGUAUCGAGGGGAUGGUGGAUGACCAAAACAAGGAAAUCUUUACAGGAGUUGAUGUAAUCUUUUUUACCACUACCUGA